CCCCCAUAUCAAACUCAGUAGAGAAACAACAGAAAAGAAAGUACACUUGAUACUUCGCCCAACACCAUCGAUUAUGGGCGCGAGAAAUGCUACCGUGUGCCUUGUGCUGAUCCUUGUGUUAUUCGCGAGUCUUGGUUCUGCAGAAGAAAAGUGCUGGGAAAGUACCUCCGGCAGUCCACUCUGCAUAGGCUUUCUGUGCAAGGCGACAUGCUUCAUUGCCGGCAAAAUGUUUAAUUCUGUCGUCAAGGAACACAGGUGUAUAGGGUCAGCAUUCAAUAGCCAGUGCUACUGCUAUCUGUGCGACAAAUAGUUUGGUAGGGUGGAACCGAAGAUUGCUUCACUAUUAGAAAUGGUCAAGGAAACCUAGGGGAAUAGUUUGUUAUUUCUUGGUUUAGAAUAUAAAGGUAAUGGAUAAUUUAUUCUCGUUGUCAACUUCAUUGUUCGGCGAUGUUGUGAUGAUGUGAAUUUUAUAGAUAAGUGCGUUAUUAUCCCGACAAAAGAUGCCCAUUGAUUUGUAAUUGCAAAUGUAUAUGAUGUGCUAAUCGUCUCAGGAGGUCUAAGCAAUCGGUCAUACCGAUCCCUUGUUAGCACUGAUCGAAAAUGGUUCCAUG
Molecule: long non-coding RNA, 611 nt
Organism: Triticum dicoccoides
Lineage: Eukaryota; Viridiplantae; Streptophyta; Magnoliopsida; Poales; Poaceae
Exons: 2
Source: RefSeq, a predicted model, not a curated record